This 9776-nucleotide long non-coding RNA is filed under the name Homo sapiens (human). RNAcentral's name for it is "HSALNT0310221". Lineage: Eukaryota; Metazoa; Chordata; Mammalia; Primates; Hominidae. The record is from RNAcentral.
UAAACCAUAGCAGUGGCAUCCUUUGAACUCACGGAUCCAGUCAUAACUGAAGUUCCAUCUACACCUGGGGUCUUCAGACCCAGGCUCUGGAAAAGAUCCUGUUACUUACAAGCAAAAGAAAUUCUGCCUCUUACCCUCAGCAUGUGAGUACUCAGAAGACAGCCGUCUGCAACUCAGAAAGAAGUCUCACCAAAAACUGAAGCCUACCAGGACCUUGAUCUUGGACUUCCCUGCCAGCUAGAACUCUCCUGAGUGCCAGAGGGAGUGGGAGAAGAUCCAGCAGCAGCCUGUCUGUGGCACAGAGAGCCUGGACUCUGGUUACACCAUCUCCCCUUAUGCCUUCAGCCCUCCUGCUGCAGCUAAUCUCUGCAUGAGCUCAUCUAUCCCUUCUGCUCCUCCAGUGUUUUCAUUUUGUAACCAAUCUCCUCUAUUAAAUUCUCUGAAAUACCUACAGUUGUUCCUACGUUUCUGACUAGACAUCAACCAAAUGGUCUCACUCAGUAGGUGACAUCUGAGUAGAGACCUAAAGAAAGAGGAAUAGGCCAGGCGUGGUGGCUCAAGCCUGUAAUCCCAGCACUUUGGGAGGCUGAGGUGGGCGGAUCUUGAGGUCAGGAGAUCAAGACCAUCCUGGCUAACACAGUGAAACCCUGUCUCUACUAAAAAUACAAAAAAAAUUAGCCAGGCAUGGUGGCGGACGCCUGUAGUCCCAGCUACUCGGCAGGCUGAGGUGGGAAAAUGGCGUGAACCCAGGAGGUGGAGCUUGCAGUGAGCGGAUAUCGCGCCACUGCACUCCAGCCUGGGCGACAGAGUGAGACUCUGUCUCAAAGAAAAAAAAGAAAAAAGAAAAAGGAAUAAGGUUUGUGACUAUCUGCGGGGGAAAGCAUUCCAAACAGAAAAAAAAAAAGAGCAAGUGCCAAGGACCUGAAGAAGAGCAUGUCUGUUGUGCUAGGGAAGCAACAGGGAGGCCAGAAGAGUUGAGGCAGAGCAGGGAAAGAAGAGGGGGUAGAAGAUUAGAUCAGAAAGAGCCAGAUCAUGAAAGCCUCAUGGGCCACUGAGAUGGCUCUAUUGCCCUCCAAAAGUCUAAGCAUCCUCUACUGAAUAUGUGAAAAUGACAAAAUAAACUGGGAGUUGUCAGAACUCCAAAGGAAUAUUAGGGUCCAAUGUAGGCCUGUUCCCACAUUAUGAAGAUAAAGAAACAAUGGGAUCUAUGAUUUAGAGCAAGGGUUGGUAAAUGAUGACCCAUAACCUAAAUCCAGCCCACCACCUGUUUCUGUAGAUAAAGUUUUUCUGACACUUAACCACAGCCAUUCACUUACAUAUUGCAUAUGGUGGCUUUUGCAUUACAAUGAUAGGGUUAAGUAGUUGCAGCACAGACCAUAUGGCCCACAAAUGCUAAAAUAUUUCCUCCCUGUCUCUUUAUUAAAAAAAGUCUGUUCACCAUUAUUUAGAGAGUUAGUUAUCUCAGUAAUGAAAAGGAGCUGAGUUCAGAAUAGGAAAGUCAUCUUACAUGGCUAAUGAAAAACGCUGUAGCCCUUACCUACGUAUGUAGUCCUGGUAUGAGAGAGUACAAAGAUGAGAAGACAGAAACUUCCAAGCAUCACCACGUUUUUCACUUCAAAGUAGUCUGGAUAUUGUCAGGUACAUAUCACUGAGUAUCAGGUGGUGAUUGGGACAAUAAAGAGAGACAUUUAAAUUGGCCAGUGACACGAGCUCUUCAGCAAGAUGACACUUGCUUAGAAGUUAUCAGAACAAAACAGAAGCUGAUGUCCAGGACAUAGUGAAAAUUUAGAAAAGCUGGACAAGAGAAGCCUUCACAGCCUUUGGAAAGACAAUUCGAAUCCUAAACCCUGGGGCAAGGAGAGGGAAGAUUGCAUGCCCAGGUCUCACUCUGUCCUCCCCACUAUACCUUCACGAAAUGAGAACCCUUCCCUUCUUCAUCUUUCUUUCCUCUGCUUAGGUUCCACCCCACUCUGAGCACUGAGGUAGAAUAGCAAAAUUCACCUUUAAAUAUGGAAAUUCAGCUCCUCAUUUUGUUAAAAUUAUACAGAACCAGAGACUAACAUUUGCAUUUCACAGUCUCCAGAUUCUCACAGACCUUGAUGAGCCAAGAGGCAGUUAACACCAGUAUUCCUGGGUAAACUGGCUUUUCUAUUGGCAAAUAAAUCUUUUUAUAUUAAGGUGAAACAAUAAUAAUCAUUUUAAACAAUCAUGUGGAGUGUGAUUACAAAAUAGCUCAUUUGGAAAGAACAUUAUCAGCUUAUGAGAUCCUCAGAGAUUCUAAAACGGAAGGUGCUACGAAUAAAACCAACUGUUAUGGGGCUUUGUCAUUUCCACAGCACAUGAAGGCAAAAUUCACACUUUAAUACUGUAAUGAGAAAACAAUGCAAAUUCUGAUUAAGUAAAAAGUGAAAGUACUUGUUACAGCCAAGCCUAGCAUCUCUCUUAUCCUUGCUGGCAUUACAGAGGAAUCAAGGGGGGAAUCUUCUAACCUUCUAAGGCGCCUCAGGUACCAUUCAGGUCUGCAUACUCAAAUUCAAAGCAUUCAUCCUUUGGCGGCUGGGUAAUAGGAGGGGUUUGCCAGCAAAUGCAAACAAUUAUACCUUGCAAUACUCCACUCACUUGCUAUUUACCCAAGGUUUCCUGUAAGCAGAAUCCCAUCUGGCCCAGCUUAAGUCAUGCUGACCUCGUUUCGAUGGCAUGUUUUCCAUAGCAGUAUAACCCCACUCACUUGGGCUUGUUGGUAAAAUGUCAAGCCUGUGUUACACACAGAAGGGUCAAGAAAAUUGAGUAUUUUUCCUAAGAUAUCUCUGUAUUACUUCCAAGUACUAUAGUAACUCCUAGAACAUGAAAAAAAAAUAAAACUAGCACUCAUUUAUUUGACAAAGGGUAAUUGAACCCCAUUCUGUACCAAAUGCUGUCCAGGUGCUGAAGCUGCAACUGAGAUUUUUUUCUUCGUGGAACUUUGUAUCCAACAGAGAUGGGAAAAAUGAGCAAUCAUCAGAUUUAUGGUCUUCUGUGAAGAUGGCACGAAACCUGUCUCCUCCUGAGCAUGGCAACCAUCCCCCUUAAUCUUAUUUACACAAGGGCAAAUAUUAUUUACCCUUCUUUCAUAGAAAAAAUUAAAGGUAGUUUUGAGCAAAGCCAUUAUCCAAAUCAUGAAAUCUUGAAAUCAAACGAAUGCAAUUUAAUUCCUAAUUGCAAUGGUAAAGACUUUAUUAACUUCCUGAGCUAUCCAUGCAUACUUUUUCAGUUCAUGUUGGUGUUUUCCUAUUGCCACACACAUCAAGCUUGCUUCUCCCAAAAACAGAAAUUGUAGCUGCUUGGAGAAUAUAUUCUCAUUCUAAUCAGACAUUUACAUCUUUAUUUUCUCAUCUUCUGCUCCCUUCUAUCCCACUACAAUCUGGCUCCUGCCUCCAUCUUGCUGUGUGACUCUUUCUAAGUUUAUUAAUGACUUCCCCAUUGCUAACUUCAACAGACCUGCUUCAUGCCUCAGCUGACUUAGCUCUCUGGUGCAUUCAAUAUAGCUUACCAUCUGCUUUCAUGGCACUGCAUUCUUGCAGUUUUCCUCUUUCCUUCUUGGCCUCCUUUGCCCACUAAUUCCCUCUAAAAUGUUGAUAGUCCUCAAAGAUGUCUCUACAAUCUCUUCUCCCAGUUUCAUACCCUUCACUUAACUACCAUCUCUAUGCCAAUAACCUGCAAAGUGAUGUGUCCGACUCAUAGCUCUCUUCUGAGCUAAAAAACAAUAUGCUCAACUCUCUACUUGAUUUUUCCCCUUGGUUAUAUCACAAGUACCUCAAAAUCAACAUAUGUAAAACUAAAUUCUUGAUCUUAUGCCCAAACCCAUUUUUCUUCAAAGUCUUCUGUCUCUAUGAAUGGCAUAAUCAGUUUUUGCAAACCAGGUCAGAGACAGUCUUCCUCCUUCCUUACUCGUGACACCCUAAACAAUGUCGAGAACCAUUGAUUCUUCUUUCUAAAUAACUCCAGGGCAAAGCUCUCCAAAUCCACUACCACCACUAUAAUCCAAGCCAAGAUUUUCUUUUUCAUGGACCACUGCAAGCUCCAUCUUCCAUUUUUAUCCCUUUUUGAUGGAUUCUGCACAUUAUAGCCAGGGUAAUCUUUUAAAACACAAACUCAAUAAUGUUGCUCUCCUGCUUCAAGCUUUUCAAUUACUCUCAAUUAGUCUUAGAAUAAAAUCCAAACUCUUAACCUGGCCAUGCCAAUAAGGCAUCUGCCCUUUUUCUUCACUGUUCAGCCAAACUGACCUUUCAUUUCCUCAAAUCGGUCAUACAUCUUCCAAAGGACCAUCUUCCAUUUUCCACAUGACCUAAGGUCCCUUGCACGUACUGUUCCCAUCACACAGACUGCUCUUCCCACUCCUUUCAAAUUUCAAUUUAAAUACAAUUUCUUCUCAAAUAAAUACUCACUGAUUCCCAAACUGUAAGCACCCCCUUCUUCCAAGCAUAGAAGAUCUCAUUGUGCUUUUCCUUUUUAACUGUUAUAACAAUUAUAAUAAAAGGAUAGAUGCAUGUUUCACAUGCAAGAAUGUCAAAUCCAUGAGGGCACAUAAAAACGUGACAAGCACAUUUCAAAUAAUGAGUCAGUCAGUGAAUUAACGACUACAAGAAUGUCAAGAACUUCCUAUAUGUGGGGUAUGGCAACCUAUGACUAACAGCCCAAAUACCACAUGCCUAGUGGUUUGGUGAGAUCUCUCUGCAUUUUCUAUCAAAUACAGGAGAAAAAAUGUUGCUUUGUCUUCACAAGCAGGUAAGCAACAGGAGAAGAUGCAUGUUUUCAGUUAAUUCAUGCUCAAAUUUAAUUACUUUAUCAAUUAAGUGUUUUCUCCCAGCCCUCUUUAUCUUCUCUCCAUGACAUAAGCAGCCAAGAACUCAAUGAGAAAAAAGCAUCCUGUUACAUCAGACCCAGUCCUGGUUGGCUUAAAACAGUCUCCAUCUAUCCCAUCUCAGCUCACCUUUAUAUCUCAUCUACUCUACAAGUGUAUACCAAAAAUGUUUAAAAAUCCAACUGUUGAUAUCAACCUUGACUCCAUUCUGUUUCAUCUGCUUUGACCUCCCUUAUUAGUUCAUUUUCAUACUACUAUAAAGAUACUAUGUGAGACUGGGUAAUUUAUAAAGGAAAGAGGUUUAAUUCAGCCACAGUUCCGCAUGUCUGGGGAGGCCUCAGGAAACUUACAAUCAUGGCAGAAGGUAAAGGCGAAACAAGGAAAUUCUUCACAUGGUGGCAGGAGAGAGAAAGAGGGGGAAAUGCCACACUUUUAGACCAUCGGAGCUCAUGAAAACUCACUCACUGUCACAAGAACAGCAUGGGGUAAACCUCCCCCAUAAUCCAAUCACCUUCCACCAGUUUCUUCCCUCAGCACUUGGGGAUUAAAUUCAAGAUAAGAUUUGAGUGGGUACACAGCGCCAAACCAUAUCACCUCCUAUCUCUGUUCUUACAUUUUUCAGAUCUCCAACUCCUGAUCUGCCCUCAGUAACUCACUAUCCAUCUUCAGUGUCCUACUGUAUCAGACCCCUUGCUCCAGUGAGUCAGGUAGCUAUUUCUGUGUAGCAAAUGAGUUCAUAUUCAAGUGGCUUACAACAAAAAAACACUUAGUAUGUCUGAAGUGUCUGAAGGUUGGCUGGAGUAAAUUGAUUUACAUUUAAUUCAGCCAGAGGCAGCUGUGUUCCGCACGCCUCUCACCCUCCUGCUGAGACCAGUAGGCUCACCUGAGCAUGUUGUUCUCACAACAAAGGUAAAAAUGCAGGAGGUUGAGGUCCCACUGCACGAGUCCAAGUUGAAACUCUGCUCAUGUUAUAUGCUAACAUCCCAUAGGCUAAAGCCAGUUACAGCCAAGCCCAAAGUCAAGGAGUAGAACUGCCACUAUUCCACUGCAAAGCUGCAGAGAAAAGGGUAUGGAUGCAGAAAGGGUUGAAAAUUAGCCUAAGGCUUCAAUCUACCACGUUAAAGACAAUCCUCGUGUUGCACAUGCAGCAUAGGUCAGAGACACUCUAGUAUCCCUCUCUCUCUGUACUCCCUUAGGCCCCUUAGCUGGCUCGGCUUCCUGGCUGGUCUCAUCUUCAGAAAGAAUAGACAAUAUGUCCAUGAUGACUAUUUGAUAAUAAAAUCCGAAGAUAUUGGCAAGAUUUUGGAUGUUCUACUUUAAAUAUUUUCUAAGCUGAGUUGUUAUCUCUUGACAGAGUGGAAUUUACUUUGAAAGAAAACUCGAAUAAUAUGAGGGUUUUGUGCUAUUUUGGUAUUAUUUAUGCCCUUGUUAUGCAAAGUGUGGUCUAUGGACCAGGAGGAUGGGCAAUCGCUUGUGAACCUGUUAGAAAUACAGAUUCCCAGGACACACUCCAGACCUACUGAAUCAAAACCUGCCUUUUGACAAGAUCCGCAGGCGAUUUAUAUGCAUGUGAAAGAUUGAGAAAUACUAGACUGUACCAAGAUUCUUUUAAUCAGGGAAAUGCCAAUAGGUAACUUUGAAAAUGAUGAUGACUGAAAGACUAUAUGACCAGUCUUUAUAGAGGUAGAAACGGACAACAAAUAGCAACGUUGCUGUUGCCAUUAGGUUAUUAGACUCAGAGCUUUGGCUUUCAAAAUCUCCCCUGGGAAGGUGGACAGUGCAUUCCUCAGUGAACAGUCUAUUUCUUUUGAAAUCAUAAAAUUUCAAACAAAUUACAAGAAAGGUCAGGCUGAAAAUUAAAGCUAUAAUUUUAUUGGGUGACUCCUUUCUGGAAGACAAAGCUGUUUUCCUUCACUACAUUGCUUUUAUUGAAUUUCUGGUUCAUUUAAAAGGGAAAAAAAAUAAAAGGUAUACACAUAAUGAAUGGGCAUAUACAGUCUGGUUGAGUAAAAGAAAAAGUAUAAAAGAUUCUUAUUAAUUGGCAAAUUAUAAUGGAUGACGAAAAUAACUGUAAUUGUGUAGAAAAGACAAGCAUCCAAGCAAUUUUCUUAUUAGGAAUAAUGUAGGCAGGAAAUGUGAAAAAGGAAGUGCACUUUCAAAUUCUACUUAUCAGGGGAAAAUAUGCUAAAUGUAAUCUGGACAACGGCAAUAUAUACAGUAAAAUAAAUGUUAACAGUUUCCUUGUGCCCCUUGAAAUUCAUCCCUCCCUCCACUGCUGUACCAGGCAAUCACUUACCUGCUUUCUGACAUUAAAGAUUAACUUACAUUUUUUAGAAUGUUGUAUAAAUGAAAUCAUAUGUUAUGUACCCCUUUUUUGGCCCAGCCUGUUUUACUCAGAAUAAUGAUUUUGAGAGUCAUUCAUGUUGUGUGUGUACCCACAGUUGAUUCUUUUUGAUUGCUAGGUAGUUUUUCAUUGUAUGAGUAUAACAUCAUUUGUUAAUGGAUAUCUGGGUCAUUUCUAUCCAGGCUAUUAGAAAUAAAAUUGGCAUGAGAAUGUGGAUAUAAGUCUUCACAUGGACAUAUGUUCUUAUUUUUCUUGUAUAAAUACCUAGGAAUGGAAUGACUGGCUCAUACAACAGGUGUUUGUUUAACUCUUUUAAAAAACACUGUCAAGCUUUUGCUAAAGUGGCUGUACAUUUUAUAUUCCCACCAGCAGUGUGUGAGAGCUCUGAUUCCUGCCAUCCUCAUCAACACUUGGUGUCGUCAAUCUUUUUAAUGUUAGCUAUUUUAAUGGUUCUGUAGUAUCAUCACCCUAUGCCCUAUGUUUUUCAUUUGCAUUUCCCUAAGGAAUAAUUAUUCUGCCCAUCUUUUCAUGUCCUUAUUGCCCAUUGGUAUAUUUCUUUCUGAAAUGUCUGCUCAAAUAUUUAGCCCACUUUUACUGGGAUAUUUUGCUUCUUCUUAUUCGGUUGUACAAGUUCUUUACAUUACAGAUACAUGUUCUUUGUCAGAUACAUGGUAUAAGAAAAGACUUAAGGUCCUUUCUGGUUGUCACAUUUUAAUAUUCUGUGAUUUGGGUAUAAUCCUGAGUAUUCAGAUACCUGUAUUUAUAGAGUUAACUAGUGGAAUAAAUAUUUUAUUUUUCAAGCAACUAUUUGCACUUUAUGCAGAUGUAAUCCAAUCAAAAUGAAUACAUAGAAUGUAAAGGAUUCCAGAGGCCUUUGUUUAUUUAUUUUGUUUCUUAGGACCACCGUGGUUUAAAAUGUAGAGUGUGGCUUUAGCCAAUUAACAGCAACUUUUGUCCAUUGCCCAGCAGCUGUAGAAGAGAUGAGACUUAUUCUGAAAAAGGAGAAAAGGCAAAAAUCAUAAAAAAGGGAAUCUUUUCUUAUUUAGGGGCCCAAACAAGUACAUGCCCCAAAAGGCCAGAGGAGCUACCUGAAUAGCCUGAUAGGCAAAGAGCAUCAUGAAGGGGAUUUGUGAGAGAUCCCAGACAUAAAAUAAAAGCAGGUCUCCCAGGGAGAUCAAAUGGAUGGGCUCGGUUCCUGGUCAAUGUGGCCCCGGGAGCCAGCAAGAACAGAGAGAUGGCCAGAAAAUGCCAGCAUCUCCGGAUUCAUGCAGCUAAGACCAGUGUCCCUUGGGACACCAGGGCCUGUGAUGCCUCUUUAAGUACUGGGACUAUGUCCAGCACCAUUCUGUAGCUUGAGGCCAAAGAAGGAGCCAAGAUAGGAAUCCUGCCUCCAAGCAGCUCACACUCUAGGGAAGGCAAAUAACUACAAAAGAAGGUGUCGCCUAGGAAAAGAAUCCAAGGGCAGCUCAGGGAUGUGGUGCAGGUCAGCAUGACCCAAUCCCUGGACCAACUGGAGGCUUCAGAGCUCAGCACCACUGAGCAGAGUAGAGCAAAGUCCACUCAAUCUGUGAUGCACCAUGGCUUUUCUGCCAACCCAUAGCAGAUGUCCUUCUUAAGUGGAAGACUCAAAGCAGCAGACUAUGAGAAAGACUCAAGGACAGAACCACAAAACACCAUGAUGCCAGCAAUCCUGAUGGUAUUAGUUAGGGCAGAAAGCCUCACAUUUCAGAAAAUGAACUUAAACUGCAGAGAGACAUAAGCCCCAAGCUGUCUUCCAGUGAUUAGGCUGUUUCUUGACAUAAAGGUCCUGUCACAAAUGAAAGCUUGGCAAAUCAAAGGUAGAACCUAAGAAAAGAAUGACCCCAAAGAGCCCAGAGUCAGAGAUGGUACUUUGCCUCUAGCCACCGCCCUUGACUAAAAGAGUGUGCUUGUCCCAAGCAAGAAGGUCUUUUUUUUUUUUUAAAUAAUUGCUGUAAUUAAUUAAACAUACACCUAAGUUCACUGUUUGGUAAGACUCCAUAAAAAAUUGUUUAGAUUCUUCUUACACCAUUCCUUUAUGUGUUUUCCCAUUAAAAAAUCAUAUUCAAGUGUUGAUAAGGUAAAAAUACCUAGAUAUGUCUGAUUGAUUGCAUCAUUUGGAAACAGCAGAAUGUAUUGAAAGACAUCUGGUAGCUCAGAGUCUGCAGUGGUUGAGAGGCUGUGCAGCAACCACACUUCUGAACUGCGCCAGCAGAGGUCCCACUGCUCCUGGGACUCAGACACUGCAGCUCAGUCCACAGUCAGGCCUCAAACACCAAGAAUCUCCCCUACACCUGCCUCCAAAAGCCGAAUGCCUCUACCACCACUAUUGCCAGUAAAUGGACUUCGUGCUCUGCUGCUUCCUCUGGUCACUUCACAUCAAAAUCUCCUCUGUGUGUGCAUCUUAUUGGUGGGGAGCCUAAGCCAUAUGACUGCAUCCGCAAGAGAGGCUAGGAAAAUGUACGACCGGCUCCCACCUUGGGUGGAAAAGAGUCCUAUUAUGGGAAAUUAUCCAAACAGAAAGGCUUUUCAGAAAAUCCUGUAUGUCCACGAAACAUAAUAAAUGAUUCUCAC